GAUGAACGCUGGCGGCGUGCCUAAUACAUGCAAGUCGAGCGAACAGACGAGGAGCUUGCUCCUCUGACGUUAGCGGCGGACGGGUGAGUAACACGUGGAUAACCUACCUAUAAGACUGGGAUAACUUCGGGAAACCGGAGCUAAUACCGGAUAAUAUAUUGAACCGCAUGGUUCAAUAGUGAAAGACGAUUUUGCUGUCACUUAUAGAUGGAUCCGCGCCGCAUUAGCUAGUUGGUAAGGUAACGGCUUACCAAGGCAACGAUGCGUAGCCGACCUGAGAGGGUGAUCGGCCACACUGGAACUGAGACACGGUCCAGACUCCUACGGGAGGCAGCAGUAGGGAAUCUUCCGCAAUGGGCGAAAGCCUGACGGAGCAACGCCGCGUGAGUGAUGAAGGUCUUCGGAUCGUAAAACUCUGUUAUUAGGGAAGAACAAAUGUGUAAGCAACUAUGCACGUCUUGACGGUACCUAAUCAGAAAGCCACGGCUAACUACGUGCCAGCAGCCGCAGUAA
This 513-nucleotide ribosomal RNA is filed under the name uncultured bacterium. RNAcentral's name for it is "partial 16S ribosomal RNA". It matches the Rfam family "Bacterial small subunit ribosomal RNA", at positions 28 to 523 of the family's 1533-position model. The record is from RNAcentral.